Molecule: transfer RNA, 77 nt
Filed under: Rhizobacter sp.
Lineage: Bacteria; Pseudomonadati; Pseudomonadota; Betaproteobacteria; Burkholderiales; Sphaerotilaceae
Description: tRNA-Thr
Rfam family: tRNA
About the family: Transfer RNA (tRNA) molecules are approximately 80 nucleotides in length. Their secondary structure includes four short double-helical elements and three loops (D, anti-codon, and T loops).
Source: RNAcentral
CGGGGUGUAGCGCAGCCUGGUAGCGCAACUGGUUUGUGACCAGUAGGUCGCGAGUUCGAAUCCCGCCACCCCGACCA